RNAcentral lists this long non-coding RNA (580 nucleotides) under Rattus norvegicus (Norway rat). Its description in RNAcentral is "long non-coding RNA NONRATT017795". Lineage: Eukaryota; Metazoa; Chordata; Mammalia; Rodentia; Muridae. The record is from RNAcentral.
CCUUUAAAUGGCGUUUAUUAUAAACAGGUUUGGGUGCUGGGAACCGCGCUUAUGCUUGAGUCCAAGAAAUGCUUAUUAAACCCAGGAGAUACCUUCAGCCAUUAACCUCUCUGUAACUCAAGAGUAGUUAUCAGAAGGGAGGAGAGAACAGGAGAAUUAGAACGCGUGGGAAUAUCCGACCACCAGGCAGCCCGGGGGCAGCCCUGGGGAGCUCUCCAGCGGGUUCCCCUCGGAGUCCCCGCGGCACGUGGCGGGCUCGGGCAGGCGCGUCGCGGCGGUGGGGGAGGGGAGAGGCGUGAGCCCUGGCGGAGGGGUCUAGACUGCCCGGGAUCCGUUUGAGCAGGCGCGGAGUGCGCAGGCUCGGCCCCGGUGCAACCAGUGCGUGCCAGACCGAGAGGGGGACGUGGUGGCAGAGCGUUCGGGACUCUGAGCACAGGGCCAAGGUCGGCUUGUGCGCACCUCCGGACUGUGUGUGUGAUAAGACAUACGGAGCACUGCUGCAGCCUCGACCGGUGGCAUCCACUCCGGCCCGGUCUCUCCUCCGGCCCGUAGCUGUGUUUCCCCCUCCGCGCGGCCGCAG